This 484-nucleotide ribosomal RNA is filed under the name uncultured bacterium. RNAcentral describes it as "partial 16S ribosomal RNA". It matches the Rfam family "Bacterial small subunit ribosomal RNA", at positions 30 to 507 of the family's 1533-position model. The record is from RNAcentral.
AUUGAACGCUGGCGGCAGGCCUAACACAUGCAAGUCGAGCGGAUGAAGGGAGCUUGCUCCUGGAUUCAGCGGCGGACGGGUGAGUAAUGCCUAGGAAUCUGCCUGGUAGUGGGGGAUAACGUCCGGAAACGGGCGCUAAUACCGCAUACGUCCUGAGGGAGAAAGGGGGGGAUCUUAGGACCUCACGCCAUCAGAUGAGCCUAUGUCGGUUUAGCUAGUUGGGGGGGUAAAGGCCUACCAAGGCGACGAUCCGUAACUGGUCUGAGAGGACGAUCAGUCACACUGGAACUGUGACACCGUCCAGCCUCCUACGGGAGGCAGCAGUGGGGAAUAUUGGACAAUGGGCCAAAGCCUGAUCCAGCCAUGCCGCGUGUGUGAAGAAGGUCUUCGGAUUGUAAAGCACCUUAAGUUGGGAGAAAGCGCAGUAAGUUAAUACCUUGCUGCUUUGACGUUACCGACAGAAUAAGCGACGGCUAACUUCGUG